CAGGCUCGAACGGCAUCUGACAUCCUACGAAAGUAGGCUCCCGCAAGGGCAGGUGUCGAGGUGCUGCAUGGCUGUCGUCAGCUCGUGUCGUGAGAUGUUGGGUUAAGUCCCGCAACGAGCGCAACCCUUGUCUUCUGUUGCCAUCGGGUUAUGCCGGGCACUCUGAAGAGACUGCCGGUGACAAACCGGAGGAAGGUGGGGAUGACGUCAAGUCAGCAUGGCCUUUAUGUCG
Molecule: ribosomal RNA, 232 nt
Filed under: uncultured bacterium
Lineage: Bacteria
Description: partial 16S ribosomal RNA
Rfam family: Bacterial small subunit ribosomal RNA
Source: RNAcentral